AACAAUUAAAUAGAUUUUUACUAUGUCUGAUUACGGUUCAGAAUGAUAAAUUGUUU
RNAcentral lists this transfer RNA (56 nucleotides) under Crassicauda magna. Its description in RNAcentral is "tRNA-Arg". RNAcentral also lists the same sequence under 1 other name. Lineage: Eukaryota; Metazoa; Nematoda; Chromadorea; Rhabditida; Tetrameridae. The record is from RNAcentral.